CGCGUAGGUGGUUCGUUAAGUUGGAUGUGAAAUCCCCGGGCUCAACCUGGGAACUGCAUUCAAAACUGACGAGCUAGAGUAUGGUAGAGGGUGGUGGAAUUUCCUGUGUAGCGGUGAAAUGCGUAGAUAUAGGAAGGAACACCAGUGGCGAAGGCGACCACCUGGACUGAUACUGGCACUGAGGUGCGAAAGCGUGGGGAGCAAACA
This 207-nucleotide ribosomal RNA is filed under the name uncultured bacterium. RNAcentral describes it as "partial 16S ribosomal RNA". It matches the Rfam family "Bacterial small subunit ribosomal RNA", at positions 568 to 774 of the family's 1533-position model. The record is from RNAcentral.